Molecule: long non-coding RNA, 734 nt
Organism: Gorilla gorilla gorilla (western lowland gorilla)
Lineage: Eukaryota; Metazoa; Chordata; Mammalia; Primates; Hominidae
Exons: 2
Source: RefSeq, a predicted model, not a curated record
GACACUCUAGCACAGCACGAUUAAGAGUUCUGCCCAAGGAUGCAAUGAAUUCCCAGAACUAGAACCAAAUCAAGGAACCUGCGUCAUAACUAGAAAGAAGGUCACAGACUGAGCACCUUGGGAGCAGCUCACCAUUGGUUAAAACAUAACCCUAGGAAAGCUGAAAUCUGAGUGACAGGCUUAAUGGCUUAAAAAUUAUCACAGGAGUAAAACAUUUAACACCAAACUAUGGGCAGGAAAAGAACAGAAUGCUCUAAAAUAUUCAGAGUGAAUACACAUAAAUAUUUAUUUCCAAUACUUAACAGUGUAAAGUCCACAGCACGUCAUUAAUUCUGGUUAAUACAACUAUAUUAGAAACUGAGAAACAAUAUGGCAUGGAGGUUAAGAUACCCGAGAGCUCCAGUCCUUCAGACAGGGUUGGAAUUCCAGCUCAACCACAGAUCAGCAAUGUGAAACCUUUAGGAAGUUACUGCAUUUCUUUGUGCUUUGAAUACUCCAUCUGUAGAACGGGUAAUCGCGUAAGGAGAAAAGGGGUACAAGAGGUUUCUACGGCUGGGCUAAGGCGCUGGUGGCUUCUGGUAGCUAUAAAACCACGAACGUUAGGUAAGGAUUAGAGAAGAAACCCAGAGUGGCUGUGAGUCAAGAAAAGACAUCAGAUAACAGCAAUUAUUUUACCAUUAUGUGACAUGUAAUACUAAUGUUCCUACCUGAAGAUAAAGAGCACAAUUUUAAAA